This 253-nucleotide ribosomal RNA is filed under the name uncultured bacterium. RNAcentral's name for it is "partial 16S ribosomal RNA". It matches the Rfam family "Bacterial small subunit ribosomal RNA", at positions 524 to 776 of the family's 1533-position model. The record is from RNAcentral.
UACGUAGGCAGCAAGCGUUGUUCGGAGUUACUGGGCGUAAAGAGUGUGUAGGCGGUGCUCUAAGUUUGGUGUGAAAUCUCCCGGCUUAACUGGGAGGGUGCGCCGAAAACUGGAGUGCUUGAGUGUGGGAGAGGAAAGCGGAAUUCCUGGUGUAGCGGUGAAAUGCGUAGAUAUCAGGAAGAACACCCGUGGCUAAGGCGGUUCUCUAGUACGGUACUGACGCUGAGACGCGAAAGCGUGGGGAGCGAACAGG